RNAcentral lists this ribosomal RNA (382 nucleotides) under uncultured eukaryote. Its description in RNAcentral is "partial 18S ribosomal RNA". It matches the Rfam family "Eukaryotic small subunit ribosomal RNA", at positions 592 to 976 of the family's 1831-position model. The record is from RNAcentral.
CAAUAGCGUAUAUUGAAGUUGUUGCGGUUAAAAAGCUCGUCGUUGGAUUUCUGUUGAGGUCGAACAGUGCCGCCCUAUGGGUGCGCAACUGGCUCGGCUUCGGCAUCUUCUUGGAGAGCGCAUCUGCACUUAACUGUGUGGAUCGUACUUCAAGUCAGUUACUUUGAGGAAUUGUGAGUGUUUCAAGCUGGCUUACGCCGUUGAAUCCGUUAGCAUGGAAUAAUAGGAUAGGACCUCGGUUCUAUUUUGUUGGUUUUGAGAGCUGGGGCAGCGAUUGAUAGGGACGGAUGGGGGCGUCCGAACUUUACUGUCAGAGGUGAAAUUCUUAGAUCGGUCAAAGGCGAACUACUGCGAACGCAUUCGCCAAGAAUGUUUUCUUUAA